CCGACGGUGAGUAACACGUAUCCAACCUGCCGUCUACUCUUGGACAGCCUUCUGAAAGGAAGAUUAAUACAAGAUGGCAUCAUGAGUCCACAUGUUCACAUGAUUAAAGGUAUUCCGGUAGACGAUGGGGAUGCGUUCCAUUAGAUAGUAGGCGGGGUAACGGCCCACCUAGUCUUCGAUGGAUAGGGGUUCUGAGAGGAAGGUCCCCCACAUUGGAACUGAGACACGGUCCAA
This 234-nucleotide ribosomal RNA is filed under the name uncultured bacterium. RNAcentral describes it as "partial 16S ribosomal RNA". It matches the Rfam family "Bacterial small subunit ribosomal RNA", at positions 105 to 334 of the family's 1533-position model. The record is from RNAcentral.